CCUACGGGGGGCAGCAGUGGGGAAUAUUGCACAAUGGGCGCAAGCCUGAUGCAGCCAUGCCGCGUGUGUGAAGAAGGCCUUCGGGUUGUAGAGCACUUUCAGCGGGGAGGAAGGCGGUGAGGUUAAUAACCUCAUCGAUUGACGUUACCCGCAGAAGAAGCACCGGCUAACUCCGUGCCAGCAGCCGCGGUAAUACGGAGGGUGCAAGCGUUAAUCGGAAUUACUGGGCGUAAAGCGCACGCAGGCGGUCUGUCAAGUCGGAUGUGAAAUCCCCGGGCUCAACCUGGGAACUGCAUUCGAAACUGGCAGGCUAGAGUCUUGUAGAGGGGGGUAGAAUUCCAGGUGUAGCGGUGAAAUGCGUAGAGAUCUGGAGGAAUACCGGUGGCGAAGGCGGCCCCCUGGACAAAGACUGACGCUCAGGUGCAAAAGCGUGGGGAGCAAACAGGAUUAGAUACCCUAGUAGUC
Molecule: ribosomal RNA, 465 nt
Filed under: uncultured Klebsiella sp.
Lineage: Bacteria; Pseudomonadati; Pseudomonadota; Gammaproteobacteria; Enterobacterales; Enterobacteriaceae
Description: bacterial SSU rRNA
Rfam family: Bacterial small subunit ribosomal RNA
Source: RNAcentral